This is a long non-coding RNA of Octopus sinensis (East Asian common octopus), 910 nucleotides long. RefSeq lists it as uncharacterized. The transcript has 2 exons. The record is from RefSeq and is a predicted model, not a curated record. Lineage: Eukaryota; Metazoa; Mollusca; Cephalopoda; Octopoda; Octopodidae.
UUAAAAUCUCCCACCAAACUUUAGCCACAAUUUAUAUUCCUAACUCUAGCUGAAUGAUAUCUAAUUUAUUUUACUAAAUUCUUCGUUAUAUUUAAAGUAAUUGAAAGAAAUACAAAACAUCUCAAACUGAAUAACAGUAGCGAAAGGGUUAUUGAGAAGAAAAAAGAAACUAAUUCAUAGCUCUGUUCUCAGGGCACAUACGUAGUAUGUUGCAGGCCUGCAUUUGGGGCCAUAAGAGAAAGCUAAUUAAGUCCUAAUUAGUGGGUUGUUAUUUCAAAACAAAGCAUGAUUAUCAUCAUUGUUUAAUGUCCGCUUUCUAUGCUAGCAUGGGUUGGACGAUUUGACUGAGGGCUGGCGAGCCAGGUGAUUGCCCCAAGUUUCCAAUCUGCAGCCAUCUGGUUCACCAGUCCUCAGUCGAAUCGUCCAACCCAUGCUAGCAUGGAAAGCGGGCAUUAAAUGAUGAUGAUGAUGAUGUUUUUGGUAUACAGGUCAUUUAUCUCAUAUAAUUGUGCUUCACAUUGGUCAAGCAACAUUCUCUGAAUUUCUCCGGGACAGGUGGGGGGAGGGGCCUAUCAGUUAUGUGAGAUGCAAUGCAGCACUAUUUUCUUGGCUUUUGUGUCAGAGCUGUGUAAAACAAGACAAAUAAUACAAAGAACGACCCUUCAUCAGUUGUCGACUGUCUAUCUACUCCCCAUUUCAAGCAUCCAUUUCCAAGUAUAUGUAUAUAUAUAUAAUACUUAUUUAAAAUACAGAGGCCUACUAUGAUCCAUUUUACACAAAAGAAAAUCAUUUGAACAUAAUUAUAUGUAAUUUAAUCAAAGAAAAAAAUAUAUAUGUAUAUAAACACUUUCUUUUGUUUAUGGAACAAGUUAAAUAUAUGGAACAAUAAAAAGCCAUAGUGAUUCUGUUA